UGAGUGGCGAACGGGUGAGUAAUACGUGAGUAACCUGCCCUUGACUCUGGGAUAAGCCUGGGAAACUGGGUCUAAUACUGGAUACUACAUACCUUCGCAUGGGUGUGUGGAAAGGGUUUUACUGGUUUUGGAUGGGCUCACGGCCUAUCAGCUUGUUGGUGGGGUAAUGGCCUACCAAGGCGACGACGGGUAGCCGGCCUGAGAGGGCGACCGGCCACACUGGGACUGAGACACGGCCCAGACUCCUACGGGAGGCAGCAGUGGGAAUAUUGCACAAUGGGCGAAAGCCUGAUGCAGCGACGCCGCGUGAGGGAUGACGGCCUUCGGGUUGUAAACCUCUUUCAGCACGGAAGAAGCGAAAGUGACGGUACGUGCAGAAGAAGCGCCGGCUAACUACGUGCCAGCAGCCGCGGUAAUACGUAGGGCGCAAGCGUUGUCCGGAAUUAUUGGGCGUAAAGAGCUCGUAGGCGGUUUGUCGCGUCUGCUGUGAAAGCCCGGGGCUUAACCCCGUGGUGUGCAGUGGGUACGGGCAGACUAGAGUGCAGUAGGGGAGACUGGAAUUCCUGGUGUAGCGGUGAAAUGCGCAGAUAUCAGGAGGAACACCGAUGGCGAAGGCAGGUCUCUGGGCUGUUACUGACGCUGAGGAGCGAAAGCAUGGGGAGCGAACAGGAUUAGAUACCCUGGUAGUCCAUGCCGUAAACGUUGGGCACUAGGUGUGGGGGACAUUCCACGUUUUCCGCGCCGUAGCUAACGCAUUAAGUGCCCCGCCUGGGGGAGUACGGCCGCAAGGCUAAAACUCA
RNAcentral lists this ribosomal RNA (800 nucleotides) under uncultured bacterium. RNAcentral's name for it is "bacterial SSU rRNA". It matches the Rfam family "Bacterial small subunit ribosomal RNA", at positions 92 to 903 of the family's 1533-position model. The record is from RNAcentral.